RNAcentral lists this transfer RNA (72 nucleotides) under Xanthocytophaga flava. RNAcentral describes it as "tRNA-Arg". It matches the Rfam family "tRNA". Rfam says of the family: Transfer RNA (tRNA) molecules are approximately 80 nucleotides in length. The record is from RNAcentral. Lineage: Bacteria; Pseudomonadati; Bacteroidota; Cytophagia; Cytophagales; Rhodocytophagaceae.
GAGGAAGUAGUUCAACGGAAGAAUAUCCGGUUCCUAACCGGAUGGGUACAAGUUCGACUCUUGUCUUCCUCC